AUUGAACGCUGGCGGCAUGCCUUACACAUGCAAGUCGAACGGCAGCACGGGAGCAAUCCUGGUGGCGAGUGGCGAACGGGUGAGUAAUAUAUCGGAACGUGCCCAGUCGUGGGGAUAACGUAGCGAAAGCUACGCUAAUACCGCAUACGAUCUAUGGAUGAAAGCGGGGGAUCGCAAGACCUCGCGCGAUUGGAGCGGCCGAUAUCAGAUUAGGUAGUUGGUGAGGUAAAGGGCUCACCAAGCCGACGAUCUGUAGCUGGUCUGAGAGGACGACCAGCCACACUGGGACUGAGACACGGCCCAGACUCCUACGGGAGGCAGCAGUGGGGAAUUUUUGGGACAAUGGGCGCAAGCCUGAUCCAGCAAUGCCGCGUGCAGGAUGAAGGCCUUC
This 391-nucleotide ribosomal RNA is filed under the name uncultured bacterium. Its description in RNAcentral is "bacterial SSU rRNA". It matches the Rfam family "Bacterial small subunit ribosomal RNA", at positions 30 to 419 of the family's 1533-position model. The record is from RNAcentral.